AAUUUAGUCAACGCUAGUGGAACAAGAAAGACAUGGAUCUAUAUUCAAUACGCAAUCAAAGGAUUUCUCCCCAAAAAAGAGAAGAAGUCCCCUUGCUUUCUUUUUGCUCCGCUCGUUCGUGGCACUCCUUGCUCAUAGAGAGGCAUAUCGA
Capsicum annuum is the source of this 151-nucleotide long non-coding RNA. RefSeq lists it as uncharacterized. The record is from RefSeq and is a predicted model, not a curated record. NCBI's taxonomy places the organism in Eukaryota, Viridiplantae, Streptophyta, Magnoliopsida, Solanales, Solanaceae. The transcript is spliced from 3 exons.